UGGGGAAUAUUGGACAAUGGGCGCAAGCCUGAUCCAGCCAUGCCGCGUGAGUGAUGAAGGCCCUAGGGUUGUAAAGCUCUUUCACCGGUGAAGAUAAUGACGGUAACCGGAGAAGAAGCCCCGGCUAACUUCGUGCCAGCAGCCGCGGUAAUACGAAGGGGGCUAGCGUUGUUCGGAAUUUACUGGGCGUAAAGCGCACGUAGGCGGACUUUUAAGUCAGGGGGUGAAAUCCCCGGGGGCUCAACCCCGGAACUGCCUUUGAUACUGGGAAGUCGUUGCUAGAUGAUUGCGANAGAGGUGAGUGGGAAUUCCGAGUGUAGAGGUGAAAUUCGUAGAUAUUCGGAGGAACACCAGUGGCGAAGGC
RNAcentral lists this ribosomal RNA (364 nucleotides) under uncultured bacterium. RNAcentral describes it as "partial 16S ribosomal RNA". It matches the Rfam family "Bacterial small subunit ribosomal RNA", at positions 355 to 722 of the family's 1533-position model. The record is from RNAcentral.